RNAcentral lists this ribosomal RNA (460 nucleotides) under uncultured bacterium. Its description in RNAcentral is "partial 16S ribosomal RNA". It matches the Rfam family "Bacterial small subunit ribosomal RNA", at positions 338 to 795 of the family's 1533-position model. The record is from RNAcentral.
CCUACGGGAUGCAGCAGUGAGGAAUAUUGGUCAAUGGGCGCGAGCCUGAACCAGCCAAGUAGCGUGAAGGAUGACUGCCCUACGGGUCGUAAACUUCUUUUAUCAAGGAAUAAAGUGAGGCACGUGUGCCUUUUUGUAUGUACUUUAUGAAUAAGCAUCGGCUACCUCCGUGCCAGCAGCCGCGGUAAUACGGAGGAUCCGAGCGUUAUCCGGAUUUAUUGGGUUUAAAGGGAGCGUAGAUGGGUUGUUAAGUCAGUUGUGAAAGGUUGGGGCUCAACCGUAAAAUUGCAAUUGAUACUGGCAGCCUUGAGUACAGGUGAGGUAGGCGGAAUGCGUGGUGUAGCGGUGAAAUGCUUAGAUAUCACGAAGAACCCCGAUUGCGAAGGCAGCUUACUAACCCGCCACUGACACUGAGGCUCGAAAGUGUGGGUAUCAAACAGGAUUAGAUACCCUGGUAGUC